Molecule: ribosomal RNA, 1430 nt
Filed under: Clostridium tyrobutyricum
Lineage: Bacteria; Bacillati; Bacillota; Clostridia; Eubacteriales; Clostridiaceae
Description: bacterial SSU rRNA
Rfam family: Bacterial small subunit ribosomal RNA
Source: RNAcentral
GACGAACGCUGGCGGCGUGCCUAACACAUGCAAGUCGAGCGAUGAAACCCCUUCGGGGGUGGAUUAGCGGCGGACGGGUGAGUAACACGUGGGUAACCUGCCUCAAAGUGGGGGAUAGCCUUCCGAAAGGAAGAUUAAUACCGCAUAAAGCCAAGUUUCACAUGGAAUUUGGAUGAAAGGAGUAAUUCGCUUUGAGAUGGACCCGCGGCGCAUUAGUUAGUUGGUGGGGUAAUGGCCUACCAAGACAGCGAUGCGUAGCCGACCUGAGAGGGUGGUCGGCCACAUUGGAACUGAGAUACGGUCCAGACUCCUACGGGAGGCAGCAGUGGGGAAUAUUGCACAAUGGGCGAAAGCCUGAUGCAGCAACGCCGCGUGAGUGAUGAAGGUCUUCGGAUUGUAAAGCUCUGUCUUUUGGGACGAUAAUGACGGUACCAAAGGAGGAAGCCACGGCUAACUACGUGCCAGCAGCCGCGGUAAUACGUAGGUGGCGAGCGUUGUCCGGAUUUACUGGGCGUAAAGGGUGCGUAGGCGGAUGUUUAAGUGAGAUGUGAAAUACCCGGGCUUAACUUGGGUGCUGCAUUUCAAACUGGAUAUCUAGAGUGCAGGAGAGGAGAAUGGAAUUCCUAGUGUAGCGGUGAAAUGCGUAGAGAUUAGGAAGAACACCAGUGGCGAAAGCGAUUCUCUGGACUGUAACUGACGCUGAGGCACGAAAGCGUGGGUAGCAAACAGAUUAGAUACCCUGGUAGUCCACGCCGUAAACGAUGAGUACUAGGUGUAGGAGGUAUCGACCCCUUCUGUGCCGCAGUAAACACAUUAAGUACUCCGCCUGGGAAGUACGAUCGCAAGAUUAAAACUCAAAGGAAUUGACGGGGGCCCGCACAAGCAGCGGAGCAUGUGGUUUAAUUCGAAGCAACGCGAAGAACCUUACCUGGACUUGACAUCCCCUGAAUAACCUAGAGAUAGGCGAAGCCCUUCGGGGCAGGGAGACAGGUGGUGCAUGGUUGUCGUCAGCUCGUGUCGUGAGAUGUUAGGUUAAGUCCUGCAACGAGCGCAACCCUUAUUGUUAGUUGCUAACAUUCAGUUGAGCACUCUAACGAGACUGCCGCGGUUAACGCGGAGGAAGGUGGGGAUGACGUCAAAUCAUCAUGCCCCUUAUGUCCAGGGCAACACACGUGCUACAAUGGGCAGAACAAAGAGAAGCAAUACCGCGAGGUGGAGCCAGACUCAAAAACUGCUCUCAGUUCGGAUUGCAGGCUGAAACUCGCCUGCAUGAAGUUGGAGUUGCUAGUAAUCGCGAAUCAGCAUGUCGCGGUGAAUACGUUCCCGGGCCUUGUACACACCGCCCGUCACACCAUGAGAGCUGGCAACACCCGAAGUCCGUAGUCUAACGUAAGAGGACGCGGCCGAAGGUGGGGUUAGUGAUUGGGGUG